CCUACGGGUGGCAGCAGUGGGGAAUAUUGCACAAUGGGGGAAACCCUGAUGCAGCGACGCCGCGUGAGCGAAGAAGUAUUUCGGUAUGUAAAGCUCUAUCAGCAGGGAAGAAAAUGACGGUACCUGACUAAGAAGCCCCGGCUAACUACGUGCCAGCAGCCGCGGUAAUACGUAGGGGGCAAGCGUUAUCCGGAUUUACUGGGUGUAAAGGGAGCGUAGACGGCGGUGCAAGCCAGAAGUGAAAGCCCGGGGCUCAACCCCGGGACUGCAUUUGAAACUGUGCUGCUAGAGUGCCGGAGAGGCAAGCGGAAUUCCUAGUGUAGCGGUGAAAUGCGUAGAUAUUAGGAGGAACACCAGUGGCGAAGGCGGCCUACUGGACGAUGACUGACGUUGAGGCUCGAAAGCGUGGGGAGCAAACAGGAUUAGAUACCCGAGUAGUC
Molecule: ribosomal RNA, 440 nt
Filed under: uncultured bacterium
Lineage: Bacteria
Description: partial 16S ribosomal RNA
Rfam family: Bacterial small subunit ribosomal RNA
Source: RNAcentral